AGCUUGGUGGUUAUAGCAUGAGUGAAACACACGAUCCCAUCCCGAACUCGAACGUGAAACCUCAUAGCGCUAAUGGUACUAU
Molecule: ribosomal RNA, 82 nt
Filed under: male-killing Rickettsia from Adalia bipunctata
Lineage: Bacteria; Pseudomonadati; Pseudomonadota; Alphaproteobacteria; Rickettsiales; Rickettsiaceae
Source: RNAcentral